GAUGAACGCUGGCGGCGUGCUUAACACAUGCAAGUCGAACGAAGCACCUUGAUUCGAUUCUUCGGAUGAAGAUCUUGGUGACUGAGUGGCGGACGGGUGAGUAACGCGUGGGUAACCUGCCUCAUACAGGGGGAUAACAGUUAGAAAUGACUGCUAAUACCGCAUAAGUCCACAGCACCGCAUGGUGCAGGGGUAAAAACUCCGGUGGUAUGAGAUGGACCCGCGUCUGAUUAGGUAGUUGGUGGGGUAACGGCCUACCAAGCCGACGAUCAGUAGCCGACCUGAGAGGGUGACCGGCCACAUUGGGACUGAGACACGGCCCAAACUCCUACGGGAGGCAGCAGUGGGGAAUAUUGCACAAUGGGGGAAACCCUGAUGCAGCGACGCCGCGUGAGCGAUGAAGUAUUUCGGUAUGUAAAGCUCUAUCAGCAGGGAAGAAAAUGACGGUACCUGACUAAGAAGCACCGGCUAAAUACGUG
This 479-nucleotide ribosomal RNA is filed under the name uncultured bacterium. Its description in RNAcentral is "partial 16S ribosomal RNA". It matches the Rfam family "Bacterial small subunit ribosomal RNA", at positions 28 to 507 of the family's 1533-position model. The record is from RNAcentral.